RNAcentral lists this unclassified non-coding RNA (378 nucleotides) under uncultured bacterium. RNAcentral describes it as "contains 16S-23S intergenic spacer region". The record is from RNAcentral.
UCCGUUUUGACAACGGCAGUCUCGUUAGAGUCCCCGGCAUGACCCGCUGGCAACUAACGACAAGGGUUUCGCUCGUUCAGGGACUUAACCCGACAUCUCAUGACACGAGCUGACGACAGCCAUGCAGCACCUGUGCAUGGACUCCGAAGAGGAACCGAUGUUUCCACCGGCUUUCCCAUGCAUGUCAAGCCCAGGUAAGGUUCUUCGCGUUGCUUCGAAUUAAACCACAUGCUCCACCGCUUGUGCGGGCCCCCGUCAAUUCCUUUGAGUUUCGGUCUUGCGACCGUACUCCCCAGGCGGAGAGCUUAAUGCGUUAGCUGCGCCACCGACAAGUAAACUUGCCGACGGCUAGCUCUCAUAGUUUACGGCGUGGACUAC